CUCGUACUCCCUCCGUCCGAAAAUACUUGUCAUGAAAAUGGAUAAAAAGAGAUGUAUCUAGAACUAAAAUACAUCUAAAUACAUCCCCUUUUAUUCAUCUUGAUAACAAGUAUUUCUGGACGGAGGGAGUAUACA
Molecule: non-coding RNA, 135 nt
Organism: Triticum aestivum (bread wheat)
Lineage: Eukaryota; Viridiplantae; Streptophyta; Magnoliopsida; Poales; Poaceae
Source: Rfam